CUCAACAUGAUGACUUAAAUACUGAUUGUUUCCGUUUGUCUCGUUUUGGGACAAUAGAAGCUUAUUUAUAAGAUGACUAUCGAGGCAUUUGUCUGAUUAUUUA
Aedes albopictus (Asian tiger mosquito) is the source of this 103-nucleotide non-coding RNA. The record is from Rfam. Lineage: Eukaryota; Metazoa; Arthropoda; Insecta; Diptera; Culicidae.